CUGGGUGAAGCCAGCUGAGCUCCUGACUCUGGUGGGGACUUGGGAGAACCUUUAUGUCUAGCUAAGGGAUUGUAAAUACACCAAUCGGCACUCUGUAUCUAGCUCAAUGUUUGUAAACACACCAAUCAGCACCCUGUGUCUAGCUCAGGGUUUGUGAAUGCACCAAUCCACACUCUGCAUCUAGCUACUCAGGUGGGGACGUGGAGAACAUUUGUGUCUAGCUCAGGGAUUGUAAACGCACCAAUCAGUGCCCUGACAAAACAGACCACUGGGCUCUACCAAUCAGCAGGAUGUGGGUGGGGCCGGAGAAGAGAAUAAAAGUAGGCUGCCGGAGCCAAGAGUAGCAAGCGGCUACGUCCCCUUCCACGCUGUGGGGGUUUGUUCUUUCGCUCUUUGCAAUAGAUCUUGUUGCUGCUCACUCUUUAAGUUCAUACUGCCUUUAUGAGCUGUGACAUUCACCGCGAAGGUUUGCAGCUACACUCCUUAAGCCAGGGAGACCACUAACCCACCAGGAGGAACGAACAAACAACUCCAGAUGCGGGGCCUUAAGAGCUGUAACACUCACCGCGAAGGUCCGCAGUUUCACUCCUGAGCUAGCGUGACCACGAACUCACCAGAAGGAAAAAACUCCGAACGCAUCCGAACAUGAGAAGGAACAAACUCCGAACGCGCCUCCUUUAAGAACUGUAACACUCCCGCGACGGUCCGCGGCUUCGUUCUUGAUGUCAGUCAGACCAAGAACCUACCAAUUCCGGACACACCAUCGGGGGACAUGAUAAAUCUGGGAAGGGCACCUCAGCAACUAUUCACUUUACUUCUAAAAACAGCCACGGGGUUUUCUAUCCUCUCAUCUCUUCCUCCCCUUAAAUACAUCAAAGCUUCCCAAAGGAAAAACCUAUCUAAAACUGGAGCCAAACAAGGGGAGUUCAAGACGAGAGACAGCAAAAGAGAAGCCAGUGAUGGCAUUCGAGUUUCUGCAUCAAGAGCAACGUAAGCCGGGCGCAGUGGCUCAGGCCUGUAAUCCCAGCAGUUUGGGAGGCCGAGGCGGGCAGAUCACAAGGUCAGUUCAAGACCAGCCUGGCCAAUAUGGUGAAACCCUGUCUCUACUAAAAAUAUAAAAAUUAGCCAGGCAUGGUGGGUGGUGGUGGGCACCUGUAGUGCCAGCUACUCGGGAGGCUGAGGCAGGAGAAUCGCUUGAACCUGGGAGGCGGAGGUUGCAGUGAGCCAAGAUCGCGCCACUGCACUCCAGCACUCCCGCCUGGGUGACAGAGCAAAACUCUCUCACACACACACACACACACACACACACACACACACACACAAAAAGCAACAUAAUCCAGCCUCGUUCCUAGGCUAGUUUAGGUAAGCAAACCUCACUGACGAUAAAAGGUCCUAACUGAUGUAUUAUUUUGACCGCUUUGAAAUUACAACGUCAUUGUUAUUUCAAUACUGAUAAAAGAAAAACUCAGCCAAAUUAAAUUUAAAGGAGUUGAAUUGAGCAAUGAAUGUUUUGCGAAUCGGGCAGCCCCCCCAAAUCUCAGCAGAUUCACAGAGGCUCCAGCGCAGCCAUGUGGUGGAAGAAGACUUACAGACAAAAAAAAAGGAAAUGACGACAGAAAUUGGAAGUGAGGUACAGAAUGGCUGGAUUGGUUACAGCUCGGUGUUUGCCUUAUUUGAACACAGUUUUAAUACUCAUCAGUGUAUGAAUGGUUGAAGUAUGGCCUCUGGAAUGGCCAAGACUUAGCUAUAGUUACAGAUGCAUACUCUGAAGUUACAUUUUCAAUUUUGUCUGACUACUAAGCUAGAUUACAGUUCAUCCACAAGGACUCAAAUAUAGAAGUAUGGAGCCUUUCUCCGGCCAUAUUUAGUUUGCUUUAAUAAUAUCAAAAUACUAAAAGUAAGGGUGAUUUUAAAAAACGUUUUAUUUUGUGUUAAUUUUAAACUCACAAUAAGUUGUCAAAACUGUUUGGUGAGUUCCCAUGUAUCCAUCACUCAGCUUCCUCCCAUAAUAACAACUUACUUUAUCAUUGAGCUUGUUAAUAUCAGAAAAUGAACACUGGUACACUACUGUAAGCUAAACUAGGGACCUUAUUCAAAUUUUACCAAUUUUAAUAUUAAUAUGAGUAUUUUUUUAAAAACACAUUUAUUCAUGUUAAGCAAUUUGUGCAUUGUGGAUAGAUUGUUUUUCUAACUAGAAAGUAAAUAUUAAAAAUACUUAAAAAUAUAUCAAGCACUACCUAGGUUUUUAGGCAAUAUCAGUGGACUCAGGAGCUUAUUUUACUUUUAGAGUAGAAAACGUUGGAGAGAACAUUUGCCUCAGGCAUUCUGAGAGUGGAUUGAGCAUUUAGGUUAAUUAUUAUGUCUUACUCAUUAUUUAAGACAGGUUAAAAUGUAACUUCUUGCAGUGUUCUUGUGUACCACGAAGGAAUUUGUUCCUACCCUCAUCCAUCACCAGUGGUUGAAAUCAGUCAGCUUAAUGGGUUUCUAAAAGCCAUUUCCAGGCAGCUGUGUUUACGCUUCUCUCCAAAUGCUCAUUGGGGCUUCCUAAGCAGAAAUAUGACAAGGAACACUUCACUCAUCUGUAUUUAAAUAUAAAAGCCUUGUGUAUAUAAAUAUAAAAGUUUAGUGUCUCUUUUUGUUUUCUCUGAUUUUGGCCUAUGGCAAAAAAGAAAAUAAAAAGCGAUAACAAACAAAAAACAAUUUGAAAACAGAGAGGUGAACCAAAAGUAACCCCUAAAAUCCAGAGUUCUGAGGUUGUAGUUGAUUUUUUUGUUUCCUGUUUUUUGUUUUAGGGAUGGGGGUCUCUCUGUGUUGUCCAAGCUGAUCUCAAACUCCUGGCCUCAAGCCAUUUUCCUGGCAUGGUCUUCCAAAGUUCUGGGAUAACAGGCAUGAGCCAUCACUCCCAGCCCUGAUAUAACUUGAAUGAAAUUUGUUAAAUAAAAAAUAGGUGCCACUGGGGAGUAGAACAUAAGGGAGCUAAUAUUUAUUGACAUCUACUAUGGCUAGAUGCCAUACUAGGUGCUUUGAAUGGCUCUGUUUAAUCUUGGUGGUGUAGUCAAAAGUGUACUCAUGAUGUUGACCUUGAGGCAAAUGUCUAAUAGUAUUUAAUGAAUAGGGAUUACAGUGUAACGGGGCAAAAGAAGCAUUGUAAAGCCAGAGGCAGAAGGUACAAUCCAACUUCUGGCUAAUUAAGUGAUACUGUAUUGUCAGAUCCUCUCACUUUAAUUAUCUUAAUUUUAUUCUCUAAAUAAUUCAUGAUCUUUUAUAAAGAAUUGAAAAAAUACGGGAAGGUGUAAGAAAGCAAAAGUCCUUACUUUCCCCAUACCCCGAUUCCUCUCUCUAGGGGUAAUUGUCUUUAACAUAUUAAUAUGCAUCCUUUCUGUCUCCCACAACCUAAAAAUAAAAGAUAUAGUUGAAAUUUUGUUAGUAAACAAUAAGAUUCUAACCAAUCCUUUUCAGAUGUAAAUAACUUACUGUUCAUAAUGAUAGCUUUACUUUUGGCAAAUUAUAUUUCCUAAUUUCAAAUAUUGGGUCUCUUAGAUCAUGUGAGGAAUAAUAUAGCAUUAUAUGUAUAUUUUUCUUACUGGUUUAGAAUUUAAUAAAAAUUGUUAAAAUUUACUGAGUUUAAAAGUUACUAAAGUUUAUUACUGUGUGCUAGGUGCUUUGCCUAAAUUAGCAUAUGAUAACGUGUUUAAUCUUCAUGAGAACCUUUUAAACUAGGUGCUAAAACUCUCCCUAUCGGACAGUUGGUAAAUUUUAGGCACCGAGAGGUCAAAUAAAUUGGCUAAGACCACAAAGCUACUAAGUGGUGAUGUUAAAAUUCAAACCCAAAAGUCAGGUUCCAAGAUCCCAGAACCAGAACUCUUAACCACUAUGCAGUACUGAAGAUAAUGAGCUAGUGAAAGAGCAUGGUCAAUACACACACACACAGCUGGUAAUAACCUAGAAAUCACAGUUUUGCUACCAGGACAAGGAGAUUUUCUACUUUCUAUGAAAAAAUAUAUUGUUUGUUUUUUUGUGGGGAGUUUUAGAAAGAAUUUGACUGAGGGUCACAAGGCAAAAAAAGAGACCAAAGCAAGUUUUAGAGCAGGAGUGGAAUUUUAUCAGAAACCUUUAGAACAGUAAGAAAAGGAAAGAAAGAAAGGAAGAAAAGCACACUUGGAAGAGGACCAAGCAGGUGACUUGAGAAACCAAGUGUGCCUGUAUUAUUGUUGUUCUGAACUAAUAAAUUUGAUGUUUUCUCAUGAGUUUGGAUCAUAAUCCUGAAAGACUUGAAUACCAUAAUCCUGAAUGUUGAAAUCCCGAAAAAUCAAAAUCCCUAAAGUCCAAAUCCCUGAAGUCUAAAAUCUCCCCAAAAUCACGAUCACAUUAUAAUGACAUCAUGUUUGGUG
Molecule: long non-coding RNA, 4391 nt
Filed under: Pan troglodytes (chimpanzee)
Lineage: Eukaryota; Metazoa; Chordata; Mammalia; Primates; Hominidae
Description: lncRNA (ENSPTRG00000053231.1)
Source: RNAcentral